Molecule: long non-coding RNA, 1444 nt
Organism: Bubalus bubalis (water buffalo)
Lineage: Eukaryota; Metazoa; Chordata; Mammalia; Artiodactyla; Bovidae
Exons: 2
Source: RefSeq, a predicted model, not a curated record
CCUGUGGAGGAAGGCGGGGAGAACAAAUGCAAUCCAGGCUGCAGGAAAGAGACCCCCUGCACUUCCCUUUAAAGAACCAAGACCAAGGAUGAGAUCAUUCCCCGAAUAAAAGAUGGAGCCGUGUCCAGGACCGGCGCCCUGGCUCAGCUCCAGCCAGUUUCCUUUGCUUCACUCAACAUUCCUAACUGGAGAAUGCAGGGGAAGGACGGGGCGUGGGGCGUGAAGUGCUGGCCCACAGCCACCCUGGGAGAUGCGGAUCUGGGGCUUCUCUGCCCACAGCCCUGAGAUGAGAAGGAGAGAGUCAUUCGGCUGCGGCCUCCUGCUGGUACUCUCUGCUCUGAUCCUAUGGGACUGGUUUUCUAGGGCACGGUGGAAAGGAGGCUUCCCCAGGAUGAAUGAUUCCGAGGAAAGCAAGUUGCGACUACUCAUUCCUACAUCUUUGACAAGACAAAAAGGACCAGGAAAAGGAGAAUAACAGGAGAAAGAGGAUCCAGCACUCAUUUCUGGGGCAAUGAUGAUUAGAACCUGGAAAUCAGCCUCCCAAAAGUUAACUGACAGAGAUGAUUUCCAGGUCCAAGAAAGCCAGAAAGACCCAGGAAGAUAUGAACAGGCAACAGACAGUAGUAAUUAACAGAAAUGAAGUCAUUGUAAACAAAGAGAAGAAUGUUUGCUGAUGUGAUCGGAGGUUGAGGUCAAGUGUUAGAAGGCUCCUGUAGGACUGGAGAUGAGGAUCGUCUCUGUCUGCCUGGUGUCUUCAGAAACUUGCUAAACCCAUUUCUCCUGGUUACUUCUUCACUCUUAUUGGCCACCAUUUACUAUCUUGCCUUUCACUCACCCACUGCUGUCCAUAGCUGUCCUCCAGGUCAUUGAUGUAUCGAUUUUCCCAGUUGACGCGGAUGCCCAGCAGAUCAGGAGGCUUAAAACCAUUCUCAGCCAAGAUCACAAAGUAGGUGAAGAAUCCUGCCAGAGCCUGGAUCAUCCCUAUCAGUGAUAGUUAGAGGUCAGGGGAACCUCACUCACAGGAGGAUCUCAAAAGGCAGAGCACGGAAGAGGUGGUGCCUGGGACUUGCUUCUAGCAGGGUUGAUGUAUGUCUGAGCUGUAAUGUUGAAGAUUCAUGCCAUCAGUGAUCUGACCCUGCCACCUCUGUUGGACUCGCCUCCAAAGUCUGACACUGGUUUCUAAGCUGUAACCCAGGGUCAUAUAACCGUAAAACUGGAAAGGACCUGAGAGGGGGUUUAUUCUCUCUCUCUCCAAGUGAAUGCUGGACUCCUCCUCUCCAUUUCCUCUGACACCAGGACACUCAUCAAGUCCUCUCUUUCCCUCACAUUCUCCCAUCUGCUCCAUGCCUCUCCCUUGGUCAAAACCUCCAUCCCCCAUGCCUGGGAACCAUAGCCGUGGCUGAUGCUAAUGUUUGCCUACUGACCACAGAGCUGGCACUGUUUG